Molecule: ribosomal RNA, 484 nt
Filed under: uncultured bacterium
Lineage: Bacteria
Description: bacterial SSU rRNA
Rfam family: Bacterial small subunit ribosomal RNA
Source: RNAcentral
GGCUCAGAUUGAACGCUGGCGGCAUGCCUUACACAUGCAAGUCGAACGGUAGAGUAGCAAUACUUGAGAGUGGCGAACGGGUGAGUAAUAUAUCGGAACGUGCCCAGUCGUGGGGGAUAACGUAGAGAAAUUUACGCUAAUACCGCAUACGAUCUAUGGAUGAAAGCGGGGGAUCGCAAGACCUCGCGCGAUUGGAGCGGCCGAUAUCAGAUUAGGUAGUUGGUGAGGUAAAGGCUCACCAAGCCGACGAUCUGUAGCUGGUCUGAGAGGACGACCAGCCACACUGGGACUGAGACACGGCCCAGACUCCUACGGGAGGCAGCAGUGGGGAAUUUUGGACAAUGGGCGCAAGCCUGAUCCAGCAAUGCCGCGUGCAGGAUGAAGGCCUUCGGGUUGUAAACUGCUUUGUACGGAACGAAACGGUGAGCUCUAAUACAGUUUGCUAAUGACGGUACCGUAAGAAUAAGCACCGGCUAACUACGUG